GCGAACGCUGGCGGAAUGCUUAACACAUGCAAGUCGCACGGUCAGCAAUGGCAGUGGCGGACGGGUGAGUAACGCGUAGGAAUAUGUCCAGAGGUGGGGGACAACCCCGGGAAACUGGGGCUAAUACCGCAUAUGAGCUGAGGCUCAAAGCAGUGAUGCGCCUUUGGAGUAGCCUGCGUCCGAUUAGCUUGUUGGUGGGGUAAUGGCCUACCAAGGCGACGAUCGGUAGCUGGUCUGAGAGGACGACCAGCCACACUGGGACUGAGACACGGCCCAGACUCCUACGGGAGGCAGCAGUGGGGAAUAUUGGACAAUGGGCGCAAGCCUGAUCCAGCAAUUCCGCGUGGGUGAAGAAGGUCUUCGGAUUGUAAAGCCCUUUCGACGGGGACGAUGAUGACGGUACCCGUAGAAGAAGCCCCGGCUAACUUCGU
Molecule: ribosomal RNA, 431 nt
Filed under: uncultured bacterium
Lineage: Bacteria
Description: bacterial SSU rRNA
Rfam family: Bacterial small subunit ribosomal RNA
Source: RNAcentral